RNAcentral lists this ribosomal RNA (253 nucleotides) under uncultured bacterium. RNAcentral's name for it is "partial 16S ribosomal RNA". It matches the Rfam family "Bacterial small subunit ribosomal RNA", at positions 524 to 776 of the family's 1533-position model. The record is from RNAcentral.
UACAGAGGUCCCGAGCGUUGUUCGGAUUCACUGGGCGUAAAGGGUGCGUAGGCGGUUCUGAAAGUCUGAUGUGAAAUCUCCGGGCCCAACCCGGAAAUGGCAUUAGAAACUGCAGGGCUAGAGGCUUGGAGGGGGAACUGGAAUGCUCGGUGUAGCAGUGAAAUGCGUAGAUAUCUGGAGGAACACCGGUGGCGAAGGCGGCAUCCUGGACCGACACUGACGCUGAGGAGCGAAAGCCAGGGGAGCAAACGGG